RNAcentral lists this ribosomal RNA (253 nucleotides) under uncultured bacterium. RNAcentral describes it as "partial 16S ribosomal RNA". It matches the Rfam family "Bacterial small subunit ribosomal RNA", at positions 524 to 776 of the family's 1533-position model. The record is from RNAcentral.
UACGGAGGGUGCAAGCGUUAUCCGGAUUCACUGGGUUUAAAGGGUGCGUAGGUGGGUUGGCAAGUCAGUGGUGAAAUACUUUCGCUUAACGAAGGAACUGCCAUUGAUACUAUCAAUCUUGAAUGUAGUGGAGGUAGGCGGAAUGCGUCAUGUAGCGGUGAAAUGCUUAGAUAUGACGCAGAACACCAAUUGCGAAGGCAGCUUGCUACACUACUAUUGACACUGAGGCACGAAAGCGUGGGGAUCAAACAGG